ACAGUUUAUUCAUCACCGGUUUUCUGGGAAUCAUUCUUGCUGAUCAGCAGGAGAAUGCUUAGAAAAGUCCCUGUUCUUCUUGCUGAGCCGUACUGACCCGGCCACAAUUGUCGGCCCGCCUUGCAGCGAUGUGUCAGCAGUCUUAAAAUAACGGCAUCUUUUUUGCCGUAGGAAAAAUCUCUCCAUGAGAAAUUUGGCAAAAUCCAAACAACAGGUGGUAGAAUCCUUGAGAUCAAGAGCCGAUUCUCCAUGGAUGCAGCAAUGACCAAUUUUCGGUGUACUGCUGGAGUCUGAGGCUGCACAAAUUAUCACAGUAUCAGUGUGUGCAACAUUCACAUCGCAAAGGUCUGUUUGGAGCGCAAUAAAUAUUGGCUGAUAUAUUCAGUGUUAAGAACUUCCAUUUUAUGUGGUAAUGUGGCUUUAAUCAGUCAGACAGAGUCUCACAGCAGCAGAUGCUUGUACAGAUACAGACACAUUACCCAAAGCGCUGAAGGUCACAGAUGAUGGACCCUCAGAUGAGAAGGAAAAAAGAAAAUGGGAAUAUAAUGCAACUAAUAUCUAAUAUUCUCCCCAUUGCAAGCUUCUCUACUGUCGUGCGGACAAAGUGGAGUCUGUCGGAUUAAAUUUUUUAAUGCCCCCGUAUUUCAAGGGGCUCCUGAAGCCAUGCGGUCUCAGCAUCCCAGCAUCCUUCAGUAGAUCAACAGACCCACAGCAUCACAGAUCCUUCUCCGUACUUAACUGUAGGCAAGAAGUGUUUUUCCCACUCACUCAUCCUUUAUGUUCAUGCCAAACCAAUGAAGUGUUGCCUAAAAUCUCAGGCCCAAUGUUCCAGUUCACAUUCCAGUAGACCUCAGCAGGCUUUACGUGUUAUAUUUGUGAUGGUUGGAAUGAUUGGCAUUUUUCUAGCAUCGCUCACAAAAAUCUGGUUGGCAUGCAGAAAGCAUCCAGUGGUUGUUAUGGAGACUCAGUGAGCCUCAGGGUUAAAAUUUCUCUCCUCCCUUCCACAUCCUGCUCACUGUACAUGAAGAUAACAGAAUGGGUUAUAUUUGUCACGUCGUGUUAACAAUCCAAGAGAAGUCACAGGAUUAUGCAGUGCAACAAUCGGACAGUAAAAUGACAUUAAUAAUUGAAUAAUCUCUUUUAAACCCUGAGUUUUGGCUCUCAAAUGCCAAAAUAGUGCAACUUUCAUGAACUUAUAUAACAUGUAUAAUAGUAGUCGGGAGAGAGAAGCCUGCGUUCAAGAGACAU
Molecule: long non-coding RNA, 1248 nt
Organism: Fundulus heteroclitus (mummichog)
Lineage: Eukaryota; Metazoa; Chordata; Actinopteri; Cyprinodontiformes; Fundulidae
Exons: 2
Source: RefSeq, a predicted model, not a curated record